GGGCCUUUGUCGCUCCCACCAGAGCUUGGGAUCUGUCUCCACUCUUCUACGUUCUUCACCUCGGGAGCCCUUGGUGACUCUGUGACGGCCUCUGUUUCCCUGUGAUCUGCAGGUCGGGAGAGACGCACAGCUAAGAUGCCAGGACAUCCUGAAAGCUGGGAAAGGCUUGCUUUGGAGAACAAAUGAUCUCAUAUUUGUUGACUGUAGAUACCAGCUUUUGAAACUGGAAGUUCUAAAAAAGGUCUUGCCAUCUCUAAGCUGGACCUGGUGACUUUUUUGGAGGGAAAGAAAGAGCCCUGGACUGUGAAGAGUGAGGAGACCAUAGCUGCACAG
Molecule: long non-coding RNA, 333 nt
Filed under: Macaca mulatta (Rhesus monkey)
Lineage: Eukaryota; Metazoa; Chordata; Mammalia; Primates; Cercopithecidae
Description: lncRNA (ENSMMUG00000063178.1)
Source: RNAcentral